GCCCAGGUGGCGAAAUUGGUAGACGCACUACCUUGAGGUGGUAGCGCCUUCACGGGCAUGCUGGUUCAAAUCCAGUCCUGGGCACCA
This 87-nucleotide transfer RNA is filed under the name Minisyncoccota bacterium. RNAcentral describes it as "tRNA-Leu". It matches the Rfam family "tRNA". Rfam says of the family: Transfer RNA (tRNA) molecules are approximately 80 nucleotides in length. Their secondary structure includes four short double-helical elements and three loops (D, anti-codon, and T loops). Lineage: Bacteria; Bacillati; Minisyncoccota. The record is from RNAcentral.